UACGUAGGGUGCAAGCGUUAUCCGGAUUCACUGGGUUUAAAGGGUGCGUAGGUGGGCAGGUAAGUCAGUGGUGAAAUCUCCGGGCUUAACCCGGAAACUGCCAUUGAUACUAUCAGUCUUGAAUACCGUGGAGGUAAGCGGAAUAUGUCAUGUAGCGGUGAAAUGCUUAGAUAUGACAUAGAACACCAAAUUGCGAAGGCAGCUUACUACCCGAAUAUUGACACUGAGGCACGAAAGCGUGGGGAUCAAACAGG
RNAcentral lists this ribosomal RNA (254 nucleotides) under uncultured bacterium. Its description in RNAcentral is "partial 16S ribosomal RNA". It matches the Rfam family "Bacterial small subunit ribosomal RNA", at positions 524 to 776 of the family's 1533-position model. The record is from RNAcentral.